Molecule: long non-coding RNA, 445 nt
Organism: Amphimedon queenslandica
Lineage: Eukaryota; Metazoa; Porifera; Demospongiae; Haplosclerida; Niphatidae
Exons: 4
Source: RefSeq, a predicted model, not a curated record
CCAUUUUACACACGUGGUUUCACGUGGACUGCGUGGGCAAGGACUUUGGGCGUGGCUUGAUAAGAAAAUUAAUAAAGAAAACAGUGACCAGGACCAGAAAAUAAGGUUGAGUAGCUGGACUAGUCUCACCCCACCCCUUCGCUACCUGUGGAGGAAGGAAGACCGUGUCUUACAACUACUCUGUUGAAAGAGAGAGGGAGAGGUUGCUCCUGGAGUUGUUUCCUUGGCUCAAUGAUCAGUGCCAGUUUCAUCAUGUUAGUAUCAAUCUCCAGCGGCUGUGUGUCCACAGACUGAGGGUAUCCUUCAGCAACGAGGAGGGGGAGGGGUCUGGUGUCCUCUGCAGUUUCUUCACUCCAGUGUAUGAGGCCAUUAUUUCUGAAAGUCCAUUGCUGGAAUUGGAUCAUCAUUUGUCUCAUUCAGUUUGACCAAUUUCAUGUAAGAGAAG